UGCCCCAUGGCUGAGUUGGUUACAGCGUCCGACUGUUAUUCAUAUCAAUCGGAAGGUCGAGAGUUCGAGCCUCUCUGGGGCAG
RNAcentral lists this transfer RNA (83 nucleotides) under Dendrothele bispora CBS 962.96. Its description in RNAcentral is "tRNA-Asn". It matches the Rfam family "tRNA". From Rfam's summary of the family: Transfer RNA (tRNA) molecules are approximately 80 nucleotides in length. Their secondary structure includes four short double-helical elements and three loops (D, anti-codon, and T loops). Further hydrogen bonds mediate the characteristic L-shaped molecular structure. tRNAs have two regions of fundamental functional importance: the anti-codon, which is responsible for specific mRNA codon recognition, and the 3' end, to which the tRNAs corresponding amino acid is attached (by aminoacyl-tRNA synthetases). tRNAs cope with the degeneracy of the genetic code in two manners: having more than one tRNA (with a specific anti-codon) for a particular amino acid; and 'wobble' base-pairing, i.e. permitting non-standard base-pairing at the 3rd anti-codon position. Lineage: Eukaryota; Fungi; Basidiomycota; Agaricomycetes; Agaricales. The record is from RNAcentral.